This 491-nucleotide ribosomal RNA is filed under the name uncultured bacterium. Its description in RNAcentral is "partial 16S ribosomal RNA". It matches the Rfam family "Bacterial small subunit ribosomal RNA", at positions 28 to 508 of the family's 1533-position model. The record is from RNAcentral.
GAUGAACGCUAGCUACAGGCUUAACACAUGCAAGUCGCAGGGUAACAUGAGGAAAGCUUGCUUUCCUUGAUGACGACUGGCGCACGGGUGAGUAACGCGUAUCCAACCUUCCCAUAACUACGGGAUAACCCGUUGAAAGACGGCCUAAUACCGUAUGAUAUCGUUUGCUGACAUCAAAUAACGAUUAAAGGUUUAGCGGUUAUGGAUGGGGAUGCGUCUGAUUAGCUUGUUGGCGGGGUAACGGCCCACCAAGGCGACGAUCAGUAGGGGUUCUGAGAGGAAGGUCCCCCACAGUGGAACUGAGACACGGUCCAAACUCCUACGGGAGGCAGCAGUGAGGAAUAUUGGUCAAUGGGCGAGAGCCUGAACCAGCCAAGUAGCGUGCAGGACGACGGCCCUAUGGGUUGUAAACUGCUUUUAUGUGGGGAUAAAGUGCGUGACGUGUCAUGCAUUGCAGGUACCACAUGAAUAAGGACCGGCUAAUUCCGUGC